Molecule: ribosomal RNA, 403 nt
Filed under: Fusobacteriota bacterium
Lineage: Bacteria; Fusobacteriati; Fusobacteriota
Description: Fusobacteria bacterium partial 16S ribosomal RNA
Rfam family: Bacterial small subunit ribosomal RNA
Source: RNAcentral
UGGGGAAUAUUGCACAAUGGGGGAAACCCUGAUGCAGCGACGCCGCGUGAGCGAAGAAGGUUUUCGAAUCGUAAAGCUCUGUCCUAUGGGAAGAUAAUGACGGUACCAUAGGAGGAAGCCCCGGCUAACUACGUGCCAGCAGCCGCGGUAAUACGUAGGGGGCAAGCGUUGUCCGGAAUCACUGGGCGUAAAGGGUUCGCAGGCGGAAAUGCAAGUCAGUUGUGAAAGGCAGAGGCUCAACCUCUGUAAGCAAUUGAAACUGUAUUUCUUGAGAUGUGGAGAGGCAAGUGGAAUUCCAAGUGUAGCGGUGAAAUGCGUAGAUAUUAGGAAGAAUACCGGUGGCGAAGGCGACUUGCUGGACACAAACUGACGCUGAGGAACGAAAGCGUGGGUAGCAAACAGG